GGGGCAACCUUGUCAGUCAGCACUCAAGUACUUUGCUCUGUUCUUGACCAGCCCAUGCAAUUCUCAUUGCCCUCAAGUAUCAGAUUUAGACCAGAGCUGCAUAAGAGCAAAAUAAACUUCAAAGACCACCACCAUAGCUAUGACUGAUUUCUCAUUCAUCCGUAAAAUGGUGACAUUCAGCUCAGCUGACUGGGAAACUCAGUCAUCUGAUGUCUGACAGCAGUACUUUCUCCCAAACUUCCAGAAGACUGCACACCCCUCACUUACUGCCCUACUGAAGGAAGCAUCAAAGAGCAAAUGUGCAGGCUCCAACAACUAUUGCCCUAGCUGCUUCUGAGGAGAAGAAACAGCAGCUCUGUGAAGGGACACCGAGCAGGCGUCAGCAGUGGAUGUGGCUGGAAGAGCCCAAAGGAAGGGACAUGAAGUGCCUAGUCACAGAAAUUUGUGCCAACAAGUACCUGUUUCAAUGACAGCUCCUCCAGGAAACUUUUCUCGGUUUAUGGUGGGGGGGUGAAGAAAUAUCUGUUCAAUUCUACAGUGUGAGUUUAAUUUAUAGUAACCAAAAACACACCAAAAAGUGAGUCCUUAGCACUCCAGUG
This 599-nucleotide long non-coding RNA is filed under the name Coturnix japonica (Japanese quail). RNAcentral's name for it is "lncRNA (ENSCJPG00005004457.1)". Lineage: Eukaryota; Metazoa; Chordata; Aves; Galliformes; Phasianidae. The record is from RNAcentral.